RNAcentral lists this long non-coding RNA (5248 nucleotides) under Solanum tuberosum (potato). RNAcentral's name for it is "long non-coding RNA (STUB_LNC007585)". Lineage: Eukaryota; Viridiplantae; Streptophyta; Magnoliopsida; Solanales; Solanaceae. The record is from RNAcentral.
UUGCUGCCAUCUGACCAAGAGUUAACGGGCUCAAGCCGUGGAAACAACCUCUUGCAGAAAUGUAGGGUAAGCUGCGUACAAUAACCCUUGUGGUCCGGCCCUUCACCGCCCCAUGCAUAAUGGGAGCUUUUUUGCACGGGACUGCCCUUUUUUCUCAUCUAUUUCUUAUUUUCCCUUUGUGCUUCCUGUAGUUCUCACACACUUAUCAGUUUUCAUUCCUAUUAUUCCUUCUCUCGUCCAGCAAUCUAGGCAACCAUUAGUCAUUAACUAUAAAUGUUGUAUUUGUUUAUUGUCUCUAAGAAGAAAAAAACAUGUGAUCCUUUGGCACCAUUAUGGAUAUUUGUAAAUUGUUUUAUAGCCUCACUUUUGACUCUGAGAAACUAAUUAGAGUUGUAAAUGUUUGCAAUAGAGGGGUGUAAACAAGUUGAGAAGCCUAAGUGGGUUUCGUGACACUUUUCUACUUACAGAAGUUGGGCUCAGUAUGAGAUGAAUCAAGGCUAAAAUUGGAUCCGAGAGUUUUAUGUGGUUCAAAAAUUCUACCAGCCUAAUUCUCAAAAAAAUAAAUAAAAUAAUUCUACCAGCAUAAAAUUGAAGUCUGAAAUCAAGUUGACCCUAACAGACAUAUUCCUUCUGUUUGGUACCAUAAGAGAAACUGAGAAAAACUUGGUAACAAAAUUAAAAGAGGGAUAUCUUUAUUUACUUUUUUUUUUUAAAUGGAAGAAAAUUAAGGAAAGCUGAGCCACUAGCAAAUUUACUCCAUGACUUACUUGAGGUACUAUGCACAAGCAAAGAAUUUCACCGAGGUUAGAGGUCCUGGAAGUGAGAAGAACAGAACAAAGGAUUUUCACAGUUUUCUCUCUCUCUCUCUCUCUCUCUCUCUCUCUCUCUCUCUCUCUCUCUCUCUCUCUCUCUCUCUCUCUCUCUCUCUCUCUCUCUCUCUCUCUCUCUCUCUCUCUCUCUCUCUCUCUCUCUCUCUCUCUCUCUCUCUCUCUCUCUGAACAGAACAAAGGAUUUCUACAGUUUCUUCUCUCUCUCUCUCUCUCUCUCUCUCUCUCUCUUAUAGAUUACUGAGAAGGAUGAGACAGGGCCUUUCUGUACUCCUCAGUAUGAUACCAAGGAUGGGUGAAUGGGUACGUGUAAAUAUAUGAGUGGUCCAACUUUUCAAAAGUCACUCUCUCGCAGCUAUCAGGGGCGUGUACCCAAUGUCGUCAGCCCACAUACAAUCUUUUCGAACUGUAGGGAGGUGAGCUAUUUGUAUUACAGAAGCAUAGUCACCAGCCAAUUUUUCACGGUCUCUAGUUUUCUUUGUUGACAGAGUUCGAGAAUGUAGAUCUUUGUCAAAAGAUAGCUUGUUCGGAAGAAUCAUCUCAAAAGUUGGUUCAACUGUGGAUUCACCUUUCUUGGUUGAUUUGGAUUUUUCUGAAACCUUGUCAGAGAAAGGCUUGCAACCCGAAAGAGAAAGUGACUUUUCGCAACAAGUAAUCGAAACAUUUUGAUGUGGAAAAGAACGCACAGACAUGAGGAAUAUGGUGGGUGAUUGUUAAAAGGAUCGAGAAAAUUAAAAUUUUGUCAAUAAACAUCCAAUGUAGAUAUGAAUGUCGAGGAAGGAUGAGCAAAGUCAAAAAAGGAAUUUGGUGUGAGGUGGGAAUGUAAUUACUUUAGUUGACAAAUUCUCCCUCACAACAAAUUCCUUUUUUGACUUUGCUCAUCCUUCCUCGACAUUCAUAUCUUCAUUGGAUGUUGUUUAUUGACAAAAUCUCAAUUUUCUCGAUCCUUUUAACAAUCACCCACCAUAUUCCUCAUGUCUGCGCCUUCUUCUCCACAUCAAGAUGUUUCGAUUACUUGUUGCGAAAAAUCACUUUCUCUUUCGGGUUGCAAGCCUUUCUCUGGCAAGGCUUCAGAAAAAUCUAAGUCAACCAAGAAAGGUGAAUCCACAGUUGAACCAACUUUUGAGAUGAUUCUUCCGAACAAGCUAUCUUUUGACAAAGAUCUACAUUCUCGAACUCUGUCAACAAAGAAAACUAGAGACCGUGAAAAAUUGGCUGGUGACUAUGCUUCUGUAAUACAAAUAGCUCACCUCCCUACAGUUCGAAAAGAUUGUAUGUGGGCUGACGACAUUGGGGUACACGCCCCUGAUAGCUGCGAGAGUGUAACUUUUGAAAAGUUGGACCACUCAUAUAUUUACACGUACCCUUUGAAAAGCUCCACCAGCCUAAUUUUCAAAAAAAAUUCUACCAGCCUAAAAUGGAAGUCAGAAAUCAAGUUGACCCUAACAGACAUAUUCCUUCUGUUUGGUACCAUAAGAGAAACUGAGAAAACCUUGGUAACAUAAUAAAAAGAGGGACAUCUUUAUUUAACUUUUUUUAAAUGGAAGAAAAUUAAGGAAGGCUGAGCCACUAGCAAAUUUACUCCAUGACUUACUUGAGGUACUGUGCACAAGCAGAGAAUUUCACCGAGGUUAGAGGUCCUGGAAGUGAGAAGAACAGAACAAAGGAUUUUCACAGUUUUGUCUCUCUCUCAUAGAUUACUGUGAAGGAUGAGACAGGGCCUUUCUGUAUUCCUCAGUAUGGUACCAAGGAUGCAAAUAAAACUUUUUUUCUUCAUCUGGUUGGAAGCUUGGGGGUCAUCUUUACUACCGAGAAUCUGAGGAAGAGGAAUAUCACUCAUUUCAGUUGGUGUUAUAUGGUAGUGGAAAGAUGUGAUCCACUUACUGUUUCUCUGUCAGUUUCAACAACAAUUGGUGGUCGAAUGGAACCUGUUUGGUACUGAAUAGGUAAUGUCGGCAAUUGUUAAAGACUUGUUUUAACAUCAGGCAGUUAGAAGAAUAAGAGCUUGGACUCCACGAUUCGGAGCCUGUUUGGUAUUAAAUAGGUAAAGUCAGCAAUUGAAAGGUUUGUUUUUAAGUCGGCCAACUAGAAGGAAGAGAAGAAAAAAACCUUGGGAAGUUGCUUAUUUGUGCUCAUGACAUUUGGAGAGAAAAAUCAGAUUUUCGAGAUUGAAAGUUUGUUUUUAGAUAUCAGAUGAUCACUUUUGUUGUUUCAUAGAAGUUUGGAGUACCUUGGCGGACACCGUUUAUUGUUAGAUGAUUGGAUACUCCUUGUAGGAAGUCUUCUUUUUUUUCCUCUCUACGUACUCUGCUUUUCAGUGCCGAGGGUCUACUAGAAACAACCUCUCUACCACACAAAGGCAGGGGUAAGGUUUCCAUACAUCCUACCCUCCCAGAACUCAUUUGUGGGAUGAUACUGGGUAUGUUGUUGUUGUACUUUACUUUUCCAUACCACUUUUAUAUAUGGGGUUUUCACAUUUACAUAAAUAAAACUUGAUUUUCUUAGAAUUUGUAGAUUUCCACUGGAAAAUUAGUUUUACUACCGGAAGUGCUAGUGUGGGACAAUCUACUUUGACUUGUUUUUAUAAUUUACAUACGUCUUAUCAUUUCAACUCCUCUACUAGUGUCCAGUAUUAGUAAUAGGGAUAAUCAUCAACGUACUUGUAUUAUCCAUGAAGUGCCUAGAAAACUCAAAAUGAAGCACCUAUAUAAUCAGUGUAAAGCCGUAGAGGUAAAAGAAGGAGAAGAAGGAAUGAGAAGAAUUUGAUAAUCUGAAUAGCUGGAGCACAACUUGCACAUGGAAAUUUUUUGUAGUCUUGCUCUUUUCUUCUCUGAAGCCUUUUGUUCUAGUUAUCUUGUUUUCAUUUUCCAUUUCUCUCCUGGUGCUUCAAAGUUCCUCUUGCUUUGAUUUCCUUAGGUGUAUAUACAUGAAAUUUUGAUGAGAAGAAAUUGAUGUUUUUGGUAUUUGGGGAUGUGAAGGGGAAGGAGAUGGUAAGUUGUUGGCUAGGGGGUAUGAUUAAAAUCCAUUAUACAUUCUCUUGCCUGUCUAUCUAAUUCUGUAUAUUGCCCAAUUAAAAUGGAACCUAACGUGAAGAUUAAGGAAAGAAACUAGGUAACUUUCAACAUAUAGACAUCUAGGGACCUCUUGACAUUUCUUAAGGAUGCCUCUGUGUGCUCUUCACUGAUCCAAAAACUUGUAGCUGUGUUCAUGAAAUUGGAGAAAGGAAAAAGAAAUGUGAAGGUAAAACAUGAAAAUGAAUGAUUUUUUCAAAUUUGCACGGUUGAUUUGCUAUGUUGCUCCGACUCUCCAAAAAUAAUGCCACACUCCUGUCGGAUCCUUAAAAAAUGUACUACUUUUAUAUAUUAAGAAGCAGGGAGAUCGACAACUCUCCUCAGUGCACUGAUAUCCUUUGGUGUUCGGAUGGAAAUUAAUCUGGGUUUACUUUGUUCUUUUGCAGGAUACGUUUUGAUAGUUGUCAAUUCUCACCUGCUGAUGGCAUUUUACAUGUCCAGCAAAGUAGGAAUCAGACCUGAAGGUACUGACUAGAGCAGCCAUAUUGAUUUUUCAACACAUACACCCCCGGCCAAAAGGUUUCAUUUUUCCCCUCUUGUUUUUCUUCUCUAACACAAGAUUCAUUUUAUUAAACUAGAGUGCAGUCGAUUUUUGGAAUUAGCAUGUAGGUGUAACAGCGCAGUUUUAUGUAGAUAGAUCUUUGGUCUCUGAGUUGAAUACUUAAGAAAUACAUGGCAAUUGAUUUAGAGUUGAGAGGAUGUUGUAGUAUUUGUAUUGUUCAGUCAUAAUUGCAGAUAAUAAGGUAUCUUCACACAACUUUUUUGGUUCUCUUUUGUGCUAUGUUCUAUUUUUAUUUAUUUAUUUUCGAUAACGAUGCUAUUUGGAUCAACUUGCAUAAUGAUUAACUUAUGAUCACUUUGGGUUACAUUCAAUGUAUUCAUUCAGCAUUAAGAUAUGCCAAAUAUUUGACAUAAUGUUAACAGUGAACCAAGGGCCUUUCAGAAACGUCUCUACCACCUUCACAAGGUAGGGAUAAGGUCAGGGUACACAAGACCCCACUUGUAGGGUUACACGAGUGAGUCAGUGAAAGCCAAAAAGAAAAAAAAAGUGGAGUUCCUGUAACUUUCUUAAAUAGUACCAACAGAAUGGGGUCUCAAAAAGAGAUCCAAAUCAUGCAGCCCAAUCUUGUCUUAUAUUCAAAUGUACAGUACUUGUAGCUCAUAAUGCCAUGAUAGAUGACUAAUAUAUUGUCUCUAAUGAAUGAGAUUUUUGUGAAUUUUAUACUUUUGUAGUUGGAGGCAUGUCAAUUUUCAAUGACAUCCAUCAGUCCUUCAAUUUUAUUUAAUACUGCUGUAUGCAUCAAGAGAGAAGAGUAUUUUAUUAUCUAGAAAAAACCAGGAAGAUGAAGG